This 500-nucleotide ribosomal RNA is filed under the name uncultured bacterium. Its description in RNAcentral is "partial 16S ribosomal RNA". It matches the Rfam family "Bacterial small subunit ribosomal RNA", at positions 29 to 523 of the family's 1533-position model. The record is from RNAcentral.
AUUGAACGCUGGCGGCAUGCCUUACACAUGCAAGUCGAACGGCAGCACGGGAGCAAUCCUGGUGGCGAGUGGCGAACGGGUGAGUAAAGUAUCGGAACGUGCCCAGUCGUGGGGGAUAACGUAGCGAAAGUUACGCUAAUACCGCAUACGAUCUAUGGAUGAAAGCGGGGGAUCGCAAGACCUCGCGCGAUUGGAGCGGCCGAUAUCGGAAUAGGUAGUUGGUGGGGUAAAGGCUCACCAAGCCGACGAGCUGUAGCUGGUCUGAGAGGACGACAAGCCACACUGGGACUGAGACACGGCCCAGACUCCUACGGGAGGCAGCAGUGGGGAAUUUUGGACAAUGGGCGAAAGCCUGAUCCAGCCAUGCCGCGUGCAGGAUGAAGGCCUUCGGGUUGUAAACUGCUUUUGUACGGAACGAAAAGGUUUGGGCUAAUAAGCUGAGCUCAUGACGGUACCGUAGGAAUAAGCACCGGCUAACUACGUGCCAGCAGCCGCCGUAA